Molecule: long non-coding RNA, 2669 nt
Organism: Setaria italica (foxtail millet)
Lineage: Eukaryota; Viridiplantae; Streptophyta; Magnoliopsida; Poales; Poaceae
Exons: 3
Source: RefSeq, a predicted model, not a curated record
UGUUUUGCAAAAUUGAUCUACAGUCCAGUUAGAGAAGAGGACAUUGAGAAGACGGCGUUUCCCACUAUGUAUGGGCAUUAUGAGUUUCGAGUUAUGUCUUUUGGGCUGACUAAUGCACAUCCUUACUUCAUGGAGACAAUGAAUUGCUUCAUCAGUUUGAUGACUCAAUGGUUGUAUUCAUCGAUGACAUACUCAUUUUCUCCAAGACUGAGGAAAAACAUGAGCAACAUUUGAGGAUGGUGCUUCAAAACUUGAGGGAUAAUAAGUUCUAUGCCAAGUUGAAGAAGUGUGAGUUUUGACUAUCAAAAGUUAGUUUCUUGGGGCAUGUCAUUAAUCAGGAAGGUAUUUCUGUUGACCCAAGUAAUGUUUCUACAGUAGUAGAACGAGAAAAUGAUGAGAACAUUACUUGCUUGGAUACAACCACAUUAGCAACUUUAGAUUCAAAUGUGAAACAAUUUUUUGUCAUGAUUGUAUUUGAUACAUUUGAUGAAUUGAUGCUGCACCAUGAUGUGUGUUCAUUAACAUUUUCAGAAAUACAUACAUGGAUAAAAAAGAGUGUUAAACACGUCACUUUUGGAGGACCAAAGAAGUUGAUUGGGACCAAUUCCAAGUAUUUCCAACGUCCUCUGCUAGGUCACCACGUCACUUUUGGCCCAAGGAAAGAAAGAGAUAAAAUCCAACACGUUUUGGGGCUGGAUUCGGACUGCGGAACAACACCAACUUGUGACGAUCACCACGGUCGCAUAUGGACUCGGAUUGGGGCAUUCAACUACUUCAUGAAAUCCUUAUCAAGUCUAUUUUCAUAUAGAGCCAAACUAAUAGCCAUAUCUUUUCUGAGACGGCCGCAAUCAUUGAUUUGUUCCAGAGACAUUUUCUACCUACGGUGCUGCAUCACCCUAUUUUGGCCCGAUGGGCUUUAUAUCAAGUUGGGUCCAAUAAGGAUGCGUCCAAGGGUUGGGGCACGACACCAGGACCCCCGGGUCGUCCUCCAAGGUAUUAAUAAGGAUUAGAGCCACCACAAAAAGAUUGGGUUUUGUUUAGAUAAAUGUCUAGCUACUGCUACUUCCUUAUAAAUGCGUGUGUUGAUUAGACCACCCGAUUUUGUUGAUUCAGAACCCCAAAUUUGAGUGUAUCAGAUUCAUCUCUUGGGUAAUAUCUGUGCACUAUUUGCUUGUCCACUUGUUCUUGCUUGUUCUUUGAUUUGCUUGCAGGUUCAAGGCUGUUCUUGGCACGGCAAGAACAACAACAAAUUGGAGCCGGUGUAACUAUUGCUAAGGCGCAGCGCCCCUGUUUGUCGUUGUAGUCGGGUAGCACAAUGUUGGAUCCACUCCAAAUCAAGUUCUUUCCAACUCACCAAAAGGUUGGGAACAAACCUUAGUGGCUUCAUAUCAAUUGGAACUGUUGUGCCUAGGCUCACGUCUCUAGCAUGGUUUAGCCUAGAACCAACAUAGUACCGUUGUUGAAUGAUUAUUCAGUUUACUUUGAUUAAUGUGGUUCUAGCUAUUCCUUGAUUUUACUUGUAGUCACCUAUAGAUCCACAGAUUAUCUACUACAUCACAGGGUUGCGCAUGUGCCACCAUUUGCGCUUUUCUUACCAGUUGCCAACACCUUUUGCAAGUGUGGUAAGAACAUGUAAGAACUUGAAUGGACAGGUUUGAGUGAAAAAGGAAUCUUCCACCACCUAUUUCCUUUAGUUUGUAGGCAACUUCUUUUUUAUUUUUUUGGUUGUCUGCUAACAAUGGCAGGCCCGGCAAGACACGUGGGAGCUGGGAGGUUGCACCAUGGGUGUUCCCAACCUUUACAAUAUAUGGGAGCACACCCACUAGAGGUACAUGAUGAUAUUCUAACUGAGUUUUCCUAGGUUUUCUCUUAUGCAACAAGGUCAGCCCGAAGAAGGGGAGCAUUGCUGGUUGUGGCCAUGUAGCAUGGCCGUCGCUCCGUAUUACAACAUCAAAGGAAGCACCUUUGAAUGCCAUUGGAGCAAGUUGAGGACGACUUGCAGCAAAGAAGGGAAGAAUGACGAGAACAUCACUUGCAUGGAUACAACCACAUUAGCAACUUUUAAUUCAAAGAAAUAAAUACGUAGAUUAAAAAGAGUGUUAAACACACAUGGAAGGUAUGGAGGAUCAAAGAAGUUUAUUGGGGACCAAUUCCAAGUAUUCCCAACAUCCUCCACCAGGCCACCACGUCACUUUUGGCCCAUGGCAACAAAGAGAUCAAAUCCAACACAUUUUCCAGCUGGAUUCGGACUUCAGAACAGCACCAAGUUGUGACGGUCACCACGGUCGCAUAUGGACUUGGAGUGGGGCGUUCAAGUAUUUCAUGGAAUCCUUAUCAAGUCUAUUUUCAUAUGGAUUUAGACUCAUGCCCAUAUACAGUCUGAGGCGGCCGCAGUCAUCAAUUUGUUCCAGAGAUGUUUUCUACCUAGGUGCUACGUCACGCUAUUUUGGCCCGAUGGGCCUUGUAUCAAGUCGGGUCCAAUAAUGACGCGUCCUAGUCGUCCUCCUAGGGAUUAAUAAGGAUUACAGCCACCACAAAUAGAUUGGGUUUUGUUUAGAUGAAUGUUUACCUACUGCUACUUCCUUGUUAACGCGUAUGUCGAUUAGACCACUUGAUUUGCUUGAUUCAGAACCCCAAAUUUGAGUGUAAUAGAUUCAUCUCUUGGGCAA